AGCGAACGCUGGCGGCAGGCUUAACACAUGCAAGUCGAACGCCCGGGCAACCGGGAGUGGCAGACGGGUGAGUAACACGUGGGAACAUGCCCUUCGGUUCGGAAUAACUCGGGGAAACUCGUGCUAAUACCGGAUACGUCCGUAAGGAGAAAGAUUUAUCGCCGAAGGAUUGGCCCGCGUCCGAUUAGCUAGUUGGUAGGGGUAAAACGCCCACCAAGGCGACGAUCGGUAGCUGGUCUGAGAGGAUGAUCAGCCACACUGGGACUGAGACACGGCCCAGACUCCUACGGGAGGCAGCAGGUGGGAAUAUUGGACAAUGGGCGCAAGCCUGAUCCAGCCAUGCCGCGUGAGUGA
This 354-nucleotide ribosomal RNA is filed under the name uncultured bacterium. RNAcentral describes it as "bacterial SSU rRNA". It matches the Rfam family "Bacterial small subunit ribosomal RNA", at positions 29 to 408 of the family's 1533-position model. The record is from RNAcentral.